CCUACGGGAGGCAGCAGUAGGGAAUCUUUCACAAUGGGCGAAAGCCUGAAGGAGCAACGCCGCGUGCAGGAUGAAGGCCUUCGGGUUGUAAACUGCUUUUAUAAGCGAGAAAUAUGAUGGCAACUUAUGAAUAAGGAUCGGCUAACUACGUGCCAGCAGCCGCGGUCAUACGUAGGACUCGAGCAUUAUCCGGAGUGACUGGGUGUAAAGAGUUGCGUAGGUGGCAUAAUAAGUAGCUAGUGAAAUCUGGUGGCUCAACCAUUCAGCCUAUUAGCGAAACUGUUAAGCUCGAGACCGUUAGGGGUAACUGGAAUUUCUGGUGUAGGAGUGAAAUCCGUAGAUAUUAGAAGGAACACCAAUAGCGUAGGCAGGUUGCUGGGACGGUUCUGACACUAAGGCACGAAAGCGUAGGGAGCAAACGGGAUUAGAUACCCCUGUAGUC
RNAcentral lists this ribosomal RNA (442 nucleotides) under uncultured bacterium. RNAcentral's name for it is "partial 16S ribosomal RNA". It matches the Rfam family "Bacterial small subunit ribosomal RNA", at positions 338 to 795 of the family's 1533-position model. The record is from RNAcentral.